CCGCGCCCCCGGGGAGGGGGCAAAGGUGGACGGAGGGUUCUCUGGGGAGCAGACCCUGGCUGCGGGGUCCGCAGCAUCUCCAUCGGCAGCGUCCUCUGAGAAGGCGACCCGGGGAGAGCUCUGCAAAAACCUGGGAGAAGAAACAGGAAAUGGAGGGUUUUAAAGGACUGUCUUCGUUAACCAAAUACUAGUCCGUAGUAUUCCUACAAUGAGGAAGUAGUCACCUGAGAAGUCCUGAGUCCAUCAGUCCUCUGCAACAGUAUAUUUCACACUGUCAAAAACCACCCAUGAUAUCUGUGCAAAUAAAUGACUCCCCAUUGCAUUUCCAUAUUUCUCAAUAAAACUUACUAUGUGCUCAAGAUACACGACUGUUUCUACCAAAAUAAAACGAACACAUCUGACAGCAUAGCAUAG
This is a long non-coding RNA of Lutra lutra (Eurasian river otter), 414 nucleotides long. RefSeq lists it as uncharacterized. The record is from RefSeq and is a predicted model, not a curated record. NCBI's taxonomy places the organism in Eukaryota, Metazoa, Chordata, Mammalia, Carnivora, Mustelidae. The transcript is spliced from 3 exons.